GGUUUUAUGGGGGAGCGGUUAGCCCCUGAUAUUCUGACUGCUUGUCGUGCUCUCGAUGCUCGUCGACGGACAACGUUCAAUAUUCUCAUGACUUCGGUUCGAAUACGGGUAAGACCU
This is a non-coding RNA of Sphaerobolus stellatus SS14, 117 nucleotides long. Lineage: Eukaryota; Fungi; Basidiomycota; Agaricomycetes; Geastrales; Sphaerobolaceae. The record is from the annotation of a GenBank genome assembly.